GCCCGCUUGGCCUCAGCACCUCAAAGCCACCUCUACGCCUAACGCUGUCACCGCAGCAACCGCUGUGCUGCUGAAGCGCCCGUAAUAACCGGGCCCCGCCGGGGCCGCUGCGCUCGGCCGCCUGCGCCGCCCUGCCCACAAGCAAUAUGGCGACCGCCGCCUCGCCUAGCGGUCACGUGACGCGCGCGCCCUCCCGUGACGGUGGGGGGAUCUCGCGAGCGCGGCGCGAGGCGGCGGCCAUGGCGGACGGGGCGGGUAGCAACGGGGACGCCGUGGGACCGCCGGUGGGCAAGGAGGCGGUGGAGCGCCUGAUCCGGGAGAACGGCCACAUCUUCACAGAGGCGCAGUGCAAGGUGUGCAGUGCUCUGCUCAUUUCCGAGUCGCAGAGACUGGCCCACUACCAGAGCAAGAAGCACGCCAACAAGGUGAGGAGGUACCUGUCCAUCCAUGGCGGAGAGGAGCUCGCCCACGGGAAGAAAAUGAAGCUGGAUGCAAAGCAGGACGGCAAGCAGGAAGGCAGCAGUGGGGAAGAUCGGAACAAGUGUUGUCCCAUCUGCAACAUGACAUUUUCCUCCCCGGCUGUGGCAACAUCUCACUACUUGGGCAAGACUCACGCCAAGAACAUGAAGCAGCAGUCCCCCAAAGUGGAAGAAGCAGUGCCCCCACAGAAGCAUCCUGCCACGCUCCCCACCUCUGCUGUGUCUUCUAAUGAAGAGAACAAGGACAUUACUGACCCAGACAAAUUCUGUAGCCUCUGCCAUGCCACUUUCAACAACCCCCUUAUGGCAAAACAGCAUUAUGUAGGCAAAAAGCACAGAAAGCAGGAGACCAAACACAAGCUGAUGGCACACUAUGGCCGAACCCCUGAUGCACCAGCAUCGUCCUUCAUGGGCACCAGGUUGUUGGCUAGCUGUGUGCUAACAUUGAUGUCUUUUCAGCCGGGAAGGGGUACCCCUGCAGCACAUGUAACAUAGUACUGAACUCCAUAGAGCAGUACCAAGCGCACAUCAGCGGCUUCAAACACAAGAAUCAGAUGCCAGGAGCAGCACCAGUUGUUGGACCGUUCCCGCCACAGCAGUAUGUCCGGGAAGAGUCCACUGCCCCAGGAGGAUACAGUUAUUUCAGCCAGGACUUCUAGAGCUGAUUGCAGCACUGUUCUUGGAGUUGUUGGUGGCCCAAGAACGCACAUCCUUUGCCAGCCCACAAUGGUUUCAUUAUCCCUCUGGAUAAGCAAAGCCCUGUCCUCCUGUAUGCACCCGUUGAGCAGAACGGGGACUGAAUCUGUCAGAAAAAGGAUCCAGCUGGAAGAGACUUGCUAGACAGCAAAUACUUCACUCCCUUUAGAGUAGUUUUCAUUGUGUAAUUGCUUCCUGUGAAGGUGGGUGCGAUGUGAGGGGAAGUGUGUAUCUGGUAUAACGAGGGUUUGGCAAUAGGCUGGUAGUGGCUCUCUCCUCUCUCACCACAGCAAAUAAUGGAUUCCUGCACCUGGAGAGCCAGCAUUCUGUGCUCAGAAGUGGCUUUUGCUGGAGGAGAUUUCCUAGACCAUAGUGAGCAGUGCUUAUGCAGCAUGGAUAGGACACAGUGCAGGUUGCCUGGCUUUGUACAGGCCUAAAAUAGGAAAUAACCCACAUGGCAUCUCUAUCUGUGCCUCCUGUGGUCAGGUUUGUGUGCAGAAUUUCAUGAGCCGCUGUUUGCCAUUAGAGCCUUUUGCAGUACCGCAGCCGUUGGUUCUGGAGCUGGGUUGUUUUGGUCUAACGAGUUGUUACAGCUUGUGGUGUGCAAAGUGCUGCUGGUGGGAAUGGAGGGCUGCCAGAGAGGUUCAGGCUCCUGGCUCUCCUGAGCAAUCUGCUCUGAGGAUUUCCACGUGGAAGGACAUAACUGUUUAGCCUGGUUUCCUAUGGAAACAGGUGUGUACGUGAUCAUUCACCAUGCGUGUCUUUACCCCCUGUGACUUAAACCAGCCUCGGCCAAACUUGAUAGCGGUAGAGGUCUCCAAGAUCUGAAUGCAAUCAGCAGAGGAAAGUAGAGCAGAGUGAGUUCAUUGCUAAUUCUGUCAGGGUCUGCAUGGAAGUGCAGCAUUUUACCUUCUGCCACCAAAAUACUCUGGGGAAGGAAGGUUUUGAAGGAAAAGAGAGGGAAUAAAUCUAGGUGCAGCAGGAAACCGUAGCGUAACUUGGUCAAAUUGUUAGCUGACUAAAAAGCUCCAGAUCCUUUAGAAACCUGCCUUCAUUAGUCAUUCGUUAGACACUACUUGCCCAGCCCCUCUCUUCAAAGUUCUUACACAUUUGUACCAUCCUGGAAAAUGGAUGUUCUAUAUUUCAAACUCAGAAAUCAAGACUAAUGGUCUCUUCAUGGUGCUAAAGUACUAGAUCUGUUAGGAAGGGUGGGUAGGCAUCUGAGGCCGUUGUGUGUUUUGGAUGAGUUCUUUAGAUGUUUUGCCUUAGGCUAAGGCAUUGCCUCUUCCCUGCUAGCCCACCACAAGAGCCAUGUGUGUUGGGCUGGCCUCAUGUUCAGUCCCAGCGCUCCAAGUCAGGCACCCCUCGGCUUUGUCCCAGCAUCGGUGGCUCCGUGGAGCUGAGACUUAGCUAGACAGCGGCAAACACUGCUUUUUUUCUUCCAUAUGGCAGAAGGAUGCAGAUGUGACCUCUCUGAGGACUCGCCUGGCUGGUGGGGCUCUGAGGGGCUGGUAGGAGCAUGAGUGACUGCUGUGGGUACACUGCACUGCGGGAGUGGGCUCAGCCAAGCUGCUGCUGCCUCCACUGCAUGAGCCCAGCAGCUGCUGGAGGGCAGUCUGGGGUUCUUAACUCCCAGCAACGUGUGCCAGGGGAGCAGCUGACACUUUCUCGAGGCUGAGAGCUGGGCUGUAGUACUUCCAAAAUCUGGUGUGUGUGCUGGUCAGGUUAAGCAAGAAGAGAGAGAGUUGGUUGCUAAUCUCGGUGCUUGGAGUGAGUGCCUUCCCUUCCCCACUCAAGGCUGAGCAUGAGUUUUGUUCUUCACCCUGAACAGAAUCUGCCAUCUUCCCUUAGGACAGGCUCCUGCUGGUCUGGGUUCGCCUUCCUAAUGUUUUCCAGUCUUGCUCCACUGCUGAGGUCAGACCUUAGUCUCCUGCUACAGGGGGAGUCCUUUUAAACCUUAUGAGCUGAUCAAUGAGCAGAAAAUUGCGGUGACCUGAAGGAAGCAUUGUGCGCCUGGUAGUCCUGGAUGGCUUCCAACUCCGAUCUCUGCUGCUUAGCUCUCAUCCCGCAGUACCAGGGCAGGUGCCUGCUAGAUGUGCUACGCAUCAACACCAAGAGGGAUCCAUUUCCAGCACUGCCCAGUCUGGUGUGUCACUCCUGUCUGUGUACUGACAGUUUUGCCUUCCCCUGUACACAGUGUUUAUGUAUCUUCUGUUUCCCUAAGGUGAAGCUCUCCAAAUAGAGUGUUUAUUACUA
Cuculus canorus (common cuckoo) is the source of this 3431-nucleotide RNA transcript. It is a transcript of the gene named zinc finger protein 346, with no coding region annotated. NCBI's taxonomy places the organism in Eukaryota, Metazoa, Chordata, Aves, Cuculiformes, Cuculidae. The transcript is spliced from 7 exons. The record is from RefSeq and is a predicted model, not a curated record.